Molecule: ribosomal RNA, 253 nt
Filed under: uncultured bacterium
Lineage: Bacteria
Description: partial 16S ribosomal RNA
Rfam family: Bacterial small subunit ribosomal RNA
Source: RNAcentral
UACAGAGGGGGCAAGCGUUAUUCGGAAUUAUUGGGCGUAAAGGGCGCGUAGGCGGCCAUGCGUGUCUUCCGUGAAAUCCCUCGGCUUAACCGAGGACGUGCGGAAGAAACUGCAAGGCUCGAGUCCGGAAGAGGGGGGCGGAAUUCCCAGUGUAGCGGUGAAAUGCGUAGAUAUUGGGAGGAACACCAGUGGCGAAGGCGGUCCCCUGGGCCGGAACUGACGCUGAGGCGCGAAAGCGUGGGUAGCAAACAGG